This 433-nucleotide long non-coding RNA is filed under the name Mytilus galloprovincialis (Mediterranean mussel). Lineage: Eukaryota; Metazoa; Mollusca; Bivalvia; Mytilida; Mytilidae. The record is from RNAcentral.
AUCUUAUCAGACAGUAGAUAUCAUUUAAAGAAAUUUAUUAGAAAUAUUUGCAAAAACUACUAUUUUUCAUUUAAAAAAGUAUAAAAAUUUAUUUCAAUUAUAAAAUAAGAUAACUGUGCAAAUGGGAGGUAACUCUUGCUUCAAGCAAGUAAGGAACGCCUACUGUAAGACCUGUACCAAGGAAGAACCAUUACAGUGAAAUUGGUUGAUCUUUUCAAUAUCAAAUUUAGUGAAUCUUAAUAUUAAAUAAAAGCUCUGAUACAUUCAAAUGUUUUAUUAAUUGAAAACAAUUCUUAAAACAAAAUUUAAAACAAAUAAAUCAAAACUUAACAUGAGAACUAAAGUAUAAACUUAACAGGAGAAUUAAAGUAUUGGCUGAAUAUUUAUAAACAAAAAAUGAAGAAAAAAAAACAUAAAAAAAUUAUUUAAAAAA